Molecule: unclassified non-coding RNA, 421 nt
Filed under: soil metagenome
Description: partial contains 5.8S ribosomal RNA, internal transcribed spacer 2, and large subunit ribosomal RNA
Rfam family: 5.8S ribosomal RNA (bases 1-120)
Source: RNAcentral
GAUGAAGAACGCAGCGAAAUGCGAUACGUAAUGUGAAUUGCAGAAUUCAGUGAAUCAUCGAAUCUUUGAACGCAUAUUGCGCUCUUUGGUAUUCCGAAGAGCAUGCUUGUUUGAGUAUCAGUAAACACCUCAACCUCUUCUUGAUUUUUCAAAAGGAGGGUGGACUUGAGCUAUCCCAACAACCUUUACCGGUCGGCGGGCGGCUUGAAAUGCAGGUGCAGCUGGACUUUUAUCUGAGCUAAAAGCAUAUCUAUUUAGUCCUCGUCAAACGGGAUUAUUACUUUUGCUGCAGCUAACAUAAAGGAUAAUUGUCCUCUUUGCUGACUGAUGCAGGAUUUUACGACACUUUAUGUGUUGUUCAACUCGAUCUCAAAUCAAGUAAGACUACCCGCUGAACUUAAGCAUAUCAAUAAGCGGAGGA